Molecule: ribosomal RNA, 471 nt
Filed under: uncultured organism
Description: partial 16S ribosomal RNA
Rfam family: Bacterial small subunit ribosomal RNA
Source: RNAcentral
ACACUCCUGCGGGAGGCAGCAGUGGGGAAUUUUGGACAAUGGGCGAAAGCCUGAUCCAGCCAUGCCGCGUGCAGGAUGAAGGCCUUCGGGUUGUAAACUGCUUUUGUACGGAACGAAACGGCCUUUUCUAAUAAAGAGGGCUAAUGACGGUACCGUAAGAAUAAGCACCGGCUAACUACGUGCCAGCAGCCGCGGUAAUACGGAGGGUGCAAGCGUUAAUCGGAAUUACUGGGCGUAAAGCGUGCGCAGGCGGUUAUGUAAGACAGUUGCGAAAUCCCCGGGCUCAACCUGGGAACUGCAUCUGUGACUGCAUAGCUAGAGUACGGUAGAGGGGGAUGGAAUUCCGCGUGUAGCAGUGAAAUGCGUAGAUAUGCGGAGGAACACCGAUGGCGAAGGCAAUCCCCUGGACCUGUACUGACGCUCAUGCACGAAAGCGUGGGGAGCAAACAGGAUUAGAAACCCUUGUAGUCC